UCGCCUGUUUAACAAAAACAUCGCCUCUUGAACCCUAUAAGAGGUCCAGCCUGCCCAGUGACUCUGUUCAACGGCCGCGGUAUCCUAACCGUGCGAAGGUAGCGUAAUCACUUGUUCUUUAAAUGUGGACUAGUAUGAAUGGCACCACGAAGGUUAUACUGUCUCCUUUUUCUAAUCAGUGAAACUAAUCUCCCCGUGAAGAAGCGGGGAUAAAAUUAUAAGACGAGAAGACCCUAUGGAGCUUUAAACAACACAGCACUUGCCACACAUUAUUAAAAUUUCAGAAUCUUUAACUACCCUAAGCAACAUGACUGUGAGUUUUUGGUUGGGGUGACCGCGGAGCAUAACACAACCUCCAUGUUGAAAGAAUCUUUUUCUAAGCUAAGAACUACAACUCUAAGCAUCAAUACAUUGACAUCCAUUGACCCAAUAUACUUGAACAACGAACCAAGUUACCCUAGGGAUAACAGCGCAAUCCACUUCAAGAGCUCCUAUCGACAAGUGGGUUUACGACCUCGAUGUUGGAUCAGGGUUUCCCAGUGGUGCAGCCGCUACUAAAGGUUCGUUUGUUCAACGAUUAAAACCCUACAUGAUCUGAGUUCAGACCGGA
RNAcentral lists this ribosomal RNA (610 nucleotides) under Bufotes boulengeri (African green toad). Its description in RNAcentral is "partial 16S ribosomal RNA". It matches the Rfam family "Bacterial large subunit ribosomal RNA", at positions 1796 to 2620 of the family's 2925-position model. Lineage: Eukaryota; Metazoa; Chordata; Amphibia; Anura; Bufonidae. The record is from RNAcentral.